GAGCUGACUGUGAUAUUUGUCACCCAUUUAUCCCCAGGUGUUUUGGCUCAUCUAGCUGAGAGGGCAGAUAUCCCCUUCCU
RNAcentral lists this small RNA (80 nucleotides) under Carlito syrichta (Philippine tarsier). RNAcentral's name for it is "7SK RNA (ENSTSYG00000035981.1)". Lineage: Eukaryota; Metazoa; Chordata; Mammalia; Primates; Tarsiidae. The record is from RNAcentral.